This 219-nucleotide unclassified non-coding RNA is filed under the name plant metagenome. RNAcentral's name for it is "partial contains small subunit ribosomal RNA, internal transcribed spacer 1, and 5.8S ribosomal RNA". The record is from RNAcentral.
UUUCCGUAGGUGAACCUGCGGAAGGAUCAUUACAGAGUUCAUGCCCUCACGGGUAGAUCUCCCACCCUGAAUAUUUAUACCUUAGUUGCUUUGGCAGGCCGUGGAAACACCAUGGGCUCCGGCUUAUGCGUGCCUGCCAGAGGAAACAAACUCUGUUUUUAGUGAUGUCUGAGUACUAUAUAAUAGUUAAAACUUUCAACAACGGAUCUCUUGGUUCUG